AUUAGGAAUCUUGCACAAUGGGCGAAAGCCUGAUGCAGCGACGUCGCGUGGAGGAUGAAAUCUUUCGGGAUGUAAUCUCCUUUUAACGGGGAAGAAAAAAAUGACGGUACCCGUUGAAUAAGCCCCGGCUAACUACGUGCCAGCAGCCGCGGUAAUACGUAGGGGGCGAGCGUUGUCCGAAGUUACUGGGCGUAAAGCGCGCGUAGGCGGUUCGGUAAGUCGGGUGUGAAACCUCCAGGCUCAACCUGGAGACGCCACUCGAUACUGCUGUGACUUGAAUCUGGUAGGGGAGCACGGAAUCUCUGGUGUAGCGGUGAAAUGCACAGAUAUCAGAGGGAACACCGGUGGCGAAGGCGGUGCUCUGGGCCAGUAUUGACGCUGAUGAGCGAAAGCGUGGGUAGCGAACAG
RNAcentral lists this ribosomal RNA (408 nucleotides) under uncultured bacterium. Its description in RNAcentral is "bacterial SSU rRNA". It matches the Rfam family "Bacterial small subunit ribosomal RNA", at positions 354 to 775 of the family's 1533-position model. The record is from RNAcentral.